GUAGGUGCUGUGCCCCGGGAUCGCUGGGGCGCGGGCGCAGGCGGCAACCGGCGCGCCCGGGAAGCCGCGCUCUCCUCUCCCGCGCGGAGUCUGGGCGGCCGUUGGAGGGAACAAAAGGGAAAGCGAAAGAGACCCUGGUUUCGCAGCCCCGCCCCCAGAGCCUCCUCGCCCCACUCUGCCCCGCCCUCCCCUGUACGCCGCCGGGAGAGCCCCCAGACCUGCCCGACGCGAGCGGGGAUUGGGGUGCAGCCUACGGCAGAUGGAGAGCGACCCUCUUUCGUGCAGGCGGGCGCAGCGCCGGUGGAGGCAGUGCGGUGCGUGCUGCGUCCAGCUCCCUCCGCCGGCCCGCAAGUCCGCGCGGAAUUGCCGGCGCCCUCCAGCGGCCCUGACUUCGGGGUCUACCCCAGCCCCACCCGUCUCCCGGGGUUCAGGUGUCCCGCAAGUGAGUUCAGAGACACAGCUCCAGAGGAGGGACGGACUCAGAACGCCCUGAUCUGCCACCCCGUGAGAGCCCGGCAGAGCUGCCCUAAGAGGCCCGUCCCCCGUGGUGACAGACCGCUCCGUGACCCUACCCCGAGGAGCUUCCAGUCGGGAGGUGAGGGGCCGUUGGUGCGGAUUUGCGCCGCCGCAGCCUCAGGACACGUGAGCCACAUGGAAAUGAGCUCCCCAUCCGGGGGCCCUCUUGUACCUGCUUCCUUGGUUCCCAGGACCCUGCUGCCCCGCUCUCUGUCAGGUGCUGCCGGGCCCUGCUUGGGCCCGCCUCUGAAUCAUUUGAGCCGUGAACCACAGCCCACCGCCCUCCUGGUUGGGUCUUAAAUUGCCCAGGAGUUUGGAUCUGGGCAGCCAUUCACGACUGCUGCCAGGGAGGAGGAGGGACUUCUGCCCCCCACCCCACCCCCAAUUCUCCAGGAGUCCCCGAUCCCCUUUAGAAACCAAGAUCUGGUGCUGGGCGUGUUCACCGCGACUGUCGCGUCCUGCUGCUAGGCCUUGUCGGCAGACAGCUAGGAGGUUUCCGUCUCUAGAUCUCACACUUCUCUGUGUGGAGUCCUUCCCUGCCUUUCCGCGGGGGUCUGGCUGGAUCCCCUGAAGUAGCAGGCCUGGAGUGGAGAGGGCGGGGAGCUCCCGCGCCAGAAGGCCCUAGCACACCCACAACCCUCUCCCUCCCUGCCUUCCUUGCUGGUUGCUGAUACGACGCCUCCGGUUGAGCCUUGGGACUCUUCUGUUCCCUCAGAGCGCUCUGGCUGGCAAGCACCGGCGUUCCAGGAGCCUCCUCGCCUGGGGUCCUCACUCCCACCUCCUCAGCCCACCCCUUGCCUCCUAUCGCAGCUCCAGCCUCCUUCCCUUCCUCGGGCAGGUCCUCUCCUUUACCUCUCGUGGGCCAGAGGCCACUCUGUGGGCUUUACCCCACUGCCCAUCUCUCGUGCACACCCUGGCAAGGACCCCCAUCCUGGCCUCCAGUCCUCAGUUUGCCGCACUAGGCACAGGCCCCUCCCCUUAGUCUGCAGGUCACCCCUGGCGGAGUCCCAUUUUACACGCCCCCGCCCUCUGCUGCUCCCUUGGGCUUUCCCAUUCUGCCUGCGCUCUGCCCCUGCCCCUGCCGCAGGUGGGUUCUGCCGGCUCCGGCUCUGAGGCUCGGAACCCUGUGGAGCCUUAGGAAUCGGCCACAUCUCCCUGGGCUGCCCCUCGCUAGGAUUUGGGCCGGCGGCAGCUGGGGACCUUUGAACACCACCCCCCUCAGCGGACAGCUGCCAAGCUUUGGUCUUGGGGCUCUCUCCGAGGACCCCGGGGUGGGCCUGGAGCCCCAGGGCAAGCAGGAUUGAAGGGGUGCGGGGGGAGGAGGUGCUGGUGGGCCACCCCGGCGGAGGCAGCACCCCCAGGAGUUCUGGCCCGGGGCCCAGCGGCUAGCGUGUGUGGGAAGCUUUAAUGGCCUGGCACCGAGGCGCGGGGCAGAGCGGGCCUGGCUGGCAGGAGCCGGCGUCACCAGAUGAACAUAGGCUUGCCAUCGUCAUGCGCCAGCUGGUUGAGGCAGGAGAGCAGCAGCAGGGCGUCGGUGAGCAUGCUGGGGUGCACGGUCUCCACCAGCACGCGCUGCAGGAAGUCCACGGUGUAGGAGCCGCCCUCGGACGCGGCCAGCUCUGGCCUCUCACGCAGGAUCCCGUAGGCGUUCACCAGCUGCUCGGUGAGCGCCGGGUGCACCCGCCCGUCGUAGCCCAGGCUCUGCAGCCGGUUCAUGAUGCUUACGUAGCGCUGCGUGAGUGUCUGGCACAGCUCUUCAUCCAGCUUGUGGUCGCUGGGGUUCAGGGAGGCCUGAGGGGAGAGCGGCCGUCAGGGCCCCUCCUGCUCCCACCGCCACAAAGGCAAGAGAGGGGCAGGUGCGGCUGAGGGGUGUGGCUGUGGCGAUGUGCUGGAGGGAGGUGUCCUGGAGGCCCUGGGAGAGAGGUCUGGGGACUGGCAGCAACCCGGUGGGUCUCCACCCGCUUCUUUACUGCCCGUGCCUUCCAACCGGGCAGUGACUGCAUCCCGCGGCAUCUCGCCAGGAGAGCGGCCCCUCCUCCCCACUCCUGCCGUUGCCUCUCGGGCAUGUGACCUGGACAUUCAGUCAGGGCCCCGGCUCAGAAGGGCCCACACUCAGCUUAAUGUCCUGCUGUAGCCAUCUUGAAGUUCUUUAUAGGUUUUGAACAGAGAGCCCUGUAUUUUCAUUUUCACCGAGUCCUGCACAUUACGUCUCUGUCACACGAGCAGCUGCCCCCAGGCCCACAGAAUGUCAGGUCUGAAGUAGAUGGGGUCUCUUGCCUGAGGCCCUCCUACACGUCCCACCUCUUGGGGCCAGGCCUGACCUGCAAGGUCCCCACUCUGGCCCUGCGCAUCCCCUUCCAACCAUUCCUGGAUGCCCACCUGCUGGUUCCUAACGUGCUGGGACGAGCUGCUGAGGCGUCACUUUCUCCGAGAAUGUCCCCUGUCCUUUCCUCCCCAGGUGGUCUUGUGAAUAGAGCCCUGGACUCCUGGCUCGGCUCAGCCAAAGUGACGCCUGACCGCUGGCAAUCGUACCUGGAGCCCUGUGCUCAGCACCCCCGCUGCACGGUCACUAGAGUAAGCUCAUCUCCCUGCCUCUAGGCUCCUCCCGGCCCCUGAGCCUUCUCCCUCCUUUCACCUGCUCCUGUGCCGUCAGGCAGGCUGCAGGAGUUCAGCCACCAUCUGUGGGUGACAAGUGGGGCCGCUGGACGGCGCGGAGCACAGUGAGUGGGUAGCUUUAAGCCCCAGCCCCCCAGGACAUCAGAACCCAUUAUAUGCUCACUCCGGGGCUGCGGCUGAGCUCCUGCUGUGUGCCAGACGCGGCGCGUGGAGCUCCAGACAGGAGCAGAAGUCAGGGGUGGGCACCCUGCGCCCACCCUGCCAGGGUACUGGACGGGGAAGAGCAGUGUGGGCACGCUUACACUGAGACGCAAGGCUGCGGCUGCCCCGAGGAGGUGACCUCUUGAGAGUGGAGCACAGGUGAGGCAAGUGAGGGGGGACAAGCAGGACAAGCACUCCACAGGAGCGAGGGAGCAGCGGGCACCGAAGCAAGAGAGGGGGAGGGCUCUGUCCUGCAGAUAAUUCGCAGCCCUCCCCUGUGCAGGGCACCAUACCAGGUGAUGGGAUUCAAGUGUGAGCAAAGCCCUCUGAGUUUAUGGUGAUGACAGCGCCAAGGAGAGGGACGCUGCUGCCUCCCCAGGAGUGGGCGAGCUCCUGGAGCGCAGAGACCGUCUGACAUAAACUUGGUAUGCACUGAAUGCUCCAUAAUAGGAGUGAAGAGAUGGAGGGGGAAGGAUAGUAAGGUGCCAGCAGUUUAGUCCAGGGCCUAGGUGAAUGUAGACGCAGGCGUAUACAUGGGAAACAUCUUUAGAGGGAGACUCAGCAGAGGACCUGGUGCUGGACCAGAUGUGGAGGAGAGAACAGGCGCUACCAAAUACGCACGCACCUGCAAGAAACUGAGCACAUGUGUUCACCACCCAGUCUUUCCAUUCUGGAAACGACGCCGACCACGUGUUCAGUGCUAAGGGAAACGGCGGCAAAGGUUCAGCCCUUGUUCCCGUUAGGAAGCAACGCUCAAGGGGCGGCCGCACGUCCCUCAGAGGGCGGAGACUGGAGCGUGCAUCCUGACUCUUGGGUUAGAGAGAAAAUCCAAAGCAGUUCGUGAAAUCCUUACACCUGAGAAGCCCCCGCCCGUGGGUGGGAGGCCGCCGGGCCGGGCGGGUCCACCUGCUGCACCACUGGUUAAAUAUAGAGCGAACUGCCUUGCCCCACACGUAUUUCCAAACACAGGCUGUGUAAAAUAAAAUGACUUAAGUGCUCAGCCCAAGAAGGAGGAAUAAAGCAAACCAAAAGGAAGCAGAAGGAAAGAAAGAGCUGAACCGAGGAAACAGAAUCCUAAGGAUCAACAGAGGAUCAGCAAGAAAACCCCGCGAGCGCACCGAAGCCCCGCCUUCCCCUGCGGAGGGAAACUCCCGCCUGCGACCCCGCGUCCGCGACGGCCGCAAGGCCUGACGUCACCGAGACCGGGCCAAUGGGUUCGGCGUGUUCGCGAGAUAAGUAGCGAAGCUGCAGAAGUCGUAAAUAACCUAAAACGGCAUCUGGAGGCGUUAAAAACACGAGGGUGGGGCGCCUGGGGGGCUCAGCUGGUUAAGCGUGGGACUUCGGCUCAGGUCAUGAUCUCACGGCUCAUGAGU
Long non-coding RNA from Lynx canadensis (Canada lynx), 4706 nucleotides. RefSeq lists it as uncharacterized. The transcript is spliced from 4 exons. NCBI's taxonomy places the organism in Eukaryota, Metazoa, Chordata, Mammalia, Carnivora, Felidae. The record is from RefSeq and is a predicted model, not a curated record.